RNAcentral lists this ribosomal RNA (253 nucleotides) under uncultured bacterium. RNAcentral describes it as "partial 16S ribosomal RNA". It matches the Rfam family "Bacterial small subunit ribosomal RNA", at positions 524 to 776 of the family's 1533-position model. The record is from RNAcentral.
UACGGAGGGUGCAAGCGUUAUCCGGAUUCACUGGGUUUAAAGGGUGCGUAGGCGGCCAGGUAAGUCAGUGGUGAAAUCUCUGGGCUUAACCCAGAAACUGCAGUUGAUACUAUUUGUCUUGAAUAUCCUGGAGGUAGGCGGAAUAUGUCAUGUAGCGGUGAAAUGCUUAGAUAUGACAUAGAACACCGAUAGCGAAGGCAGCUUACUACAGGAUGAUUGACGCUGAGGCACGAAAGCGUGGGGAGCAAACAGG